RNAcentral lists this ribosomal RNA (497 nucleotides) under uncultured bacterium. RNAcentral's name for it is "partial 16S ribosomal RNA". It matches the Rfam family "Bacterial small subunit ribosomal RNA", at positions 28 to 507 of the family's 1533-position model. The record is from RNAcentral.
GAUGAACGCUGGCGGCGUGCCUAAUACAUGCAAGUCGAGCGAACAGACGAGGAGCUUGCUCCUCUGACGUUAGCGGCGGACGGGUGAGUAACACGUGGAUAACCUACCUAUAAGACUGGGAUAACUUCGGGGAACCGGAGCUAAUACCGGAUAAUAUAUUGAACCGCAUGGUUCAAUAGUGAAAGGCGGUUUUGCUGUCACUUAUAGAUGGAUCCGCGCCGCAUUAGCUAGUUGGUAAGGUAACGGCUUACCAAGGCAACGAUGCGUAGCCGACCUGAGAGGGUGAUCGGCCACACUGGAACUGAGACACGGUCCAGACUCCUACGGGAGGCAGCAGUAGGGAAUCUUCCGCAAUGGGCGAAAGCCUGACGGAGCAACGCCGCGUGAGUGAUGAAGGUCUUCGGAUCGUAAAACUCUGUUAUUAGGGAAGAACAAAUGUGUAAGUAACUAUGCACGUCUUGACGGUACCUAAUCAGAAAGCCACGGCUAACUACGUG